CACGUAGGGUGCGAGCGUUGUCCGGAAUUAUUGGGCGUAAAGAGCUCGUAGGCGGUGUGUCGCGUCGGCCGUGAAAACCUGCAGCUUAACUGUGGGCUUGCGGUCGAUACGGGCAUCACUGGAGUUCGGCAGGGGAGACUGGAAUUCCUGGUGUAGCGGUGAAAUGCGCAGAUAUCAAGAGGAACACCGGUGGCGAAGGCGGCUCUCUGGAACAAUCCUGACGCUGAGGUGCGAAAGCUAGGGGAGCAAACGGG
Molecule: ribosomal RNA, 254 nt
Filed under: uncultured bacterium
Lineage: Bacteria
Description: partial 16S ribosomal RNA
Rfam family: Bacterial small subunit ribosomal RNA
Source: RNAcentral